This is a non-coding RNA of Tribolium castaneum (red flour beetle), 173 nucleotides long. RefSeq annotates it as microRNA mir-6012. NCBI's taxonomy places the organism in Eukaryota, Metazoa, Arthropoda, Insecta, Coleoptera, Tenebrionidae. The transcript has a single exon. The record is from RefSeq and is marked provisional.
CGAUUGUGACUGGGUCACGUAGAGGAAGGAAAGACAAUCUGGUGGUGUGCAGGGUGAACAGACUGAUCUUGUUUCUGCGGAAAUGUUAGUUACAGUCAUUUCGGCGAUGAGAUCAGCCUGUCGAACCCAGCUCGAGUUCGUUCAACACUUUCUUCUCUAGUAAUAUGCAGCGC